Molecule: long non-coding RNA, 677 nt
Organism: Dreissena polymorpha
Lineage: Eukaryota; Metazoa; Mollusca; Bivalvia; Myida; Dreissenidae
Exons: 3
Source: RefSeq, a predicted model, not a curated record
CAAAGGGGUCGAAACUUUAACUUCUGCUCGAGCAGAAAAAAAUGCUGCUCGAGCAGCAUUUAAAUGCUGCUCGACCAGCAAAAUGCUGCUCGAGCAGCAAAUUUACUGCUCGACCAGCAUUUUUUCUGCUCGUGCAGAAAAAUCCUGCUCGACCAGCAUUUAUUUUUAGAUUAUGGCAUUAGCCAAUCAGAACUCUUGUUAUAUUUGCCUUUUGGUGCGAAACUGGUUUGUUUGGAAAAAAUGGCUGCUGCCAUGAUGGUGCCUUUUUCACAUCUUCUGCAAGUUUAUGUGACGACCUGUUUAAAGUUUAACAUUGACACGCGGAGAUGAUGCCAAUGAUUCACCAUUAGAAGAUAUGACGGUAACAGUGGUCCAGAACUUGGCUCAACCAGAGUUCCACCAACAUUGCAACAUGCACACAACCAGCAAAACAUACCAAGACUGCCGAAUGUUUGGUCAGGAAAAAGCAUCCCACAAUGUUGCGACAGGCCCAUGUUUCAGUUUAUCGAGACUAGUCGUGAAACACAGACUUCUGAUUCAUGGAGUGCGGCAAACAUAUCUGUGCGACUCGUUCACUCCACUGUAAAGACCCGCACGGCAUUAAAAUGGAUAUCAUCCGACGUUUGCAAACGAUGGCUGCAUGAGGUCUGCGUCUCACAACCUACAUCCCAAGAUAG